Molecule: ribosomal RNA, 509 nt
Filed under: uncultured bacterium
Lineage: Bacteria
Description: bacterial SSU rRNA
Rfam family: Bacterial small subunit ribosomal RNA
Source: RNAcentral
GAGUUUGAUCUUGGCUCAGAUUGAACGCUGGCGGCAGGCCUAACACAUGCAAGUCGAGCGGUAGAGAGAAGCUUGCUUCUCUUGAGAGCGGCGGACGGGUGAGUAAUGCCUAGGAAUCUGCCUGGUAGUGGGGGAUAACGCUCGGAAACGGACGCUAAUACCGCAUACGUCCUACGGGAGAAAGCAGGGGACCUUCGGGCCUUGCGCUAUCAGAUGAGCCUAGGUCGGAUUAGCUAGUUGGUGAGGUAAUGGCUCACCAAGGCGACGAUCCGUAACUGGUCUGAGAGGAUGAUCAGUCACACUGGAACUGAGACACGGUCCAGACUCCUACGGAGGCAGCAGUGGGGAAUAUUGGACAAUGGGCGAAAGCCUGAUCCAGCCAUGCCGCGUGUGUGAAGAAGGUCUUCGGAUUGUAAAGCACUUUAAGUUGGGAGGAAGGGCAGUAAAUUAAUACUUUGCUGUUUUGACGUUACCGACAGAACAAGCACCGGCUAACUCUGUGCCAGCCG